CACGGGAGGCGGGGUUCUACGCCCCGCCCACAGGCGAAGCUGGAGUCGGGCCGCCCCUCACGGCUCCGCAGCUGGGUGGGCUCCGAGCCCGGGCCGGGCACAUCUGGAGGAUCCCAGCUGAAACAAGGGGCGCCUUCCGCAUCCCGACCAUAUCUGGAAGGCCCCCGACUCCAGCCAGGCGAUUCCAGCCGCGUCUGGGCCUAUCCCGCACUCGCUGCCUCACAUCUGGGUGCUUGUAUGUUCCUACCCCGGGCACAUCUGGAUGAGCCCCCAGUUCCCAUCCCAGCCACAUGUGGGCUACUCAACUUCAGUCCUCCGCCAUCCCCUGGCCACAUCUGGGCGGUUCCUCCCUCAUUCUGACCCUGCAACCCCUGCACCCUCCUCCCCCAGCUCCCCCCCUCCUCUCUUCAACAUUUGGGCUGCUGCGCCCUUAAACCAUAGUUUAAUAUGAAAUAUAACAAAAAAAAUGAAGAAAUAGAAUGAAAUCUACUUUAUUCCUUUUUGCAGGCAAAUCCUGCCCCGUAUUCCUGCUCUGAACCUUUGUCGCCGACCACAAGAAGGUCCCUGAGUUUUACGUGGGCCACAAUGAAAUUAUGACCAUCCUGGGUUUCUGCGCCUCAGCACUCCCAAGAAAUUGUGAAUGACGGAGCCAUGGGGGUGUCAAAAGCCAGCGAGGUGAAGAGCAGCAGCAGGAAGCGAAAGAAUGAGUUGGAAAACGAGCAGGACAAGCCAAAGGAGCUGGAAUGCACAGAGAAGCCUUCCACGGUAAAAGGGAAGAAGAAAGAAAAAUCAAAAGCCAAGGAAAAGCCACUGCAGGAGAACAUCAUCAGCAGCUCCCUGGAGCAGGAGGCUGUGGAUGGGAUCAGCCUUGGCUCGAGCCUCUGGAAUGGGAUCCAAGCUGAGGAGGGAGCUGCACCUGGGUCGGAGGAGACCAAAGCAACCUCCCCUCAAGGGCCAGCAGUGGGGCUGGAAGGCCCUUCCAGGUGAGUUGGGUAAUUUUUUUGAUUAUUUUUCUUCCAGGGAACUGGAAUUUUGUCCUUUUUUUUCCCUUCUCCCUGUGGAGCUGCACAAUCCUGGUUUUCCCUCCUGGAUCGCUGGUGCCUUCCUGGAGCAUCUUCUCCACAUCCUGGUGUUUUCAGUGACUUUAAAGCUUUC
This 1155-nucleotide long non-coding RNA is filed under the name Junco hyemalis (dark-eyed junco). RNAcentral's name for it is "lncRNA (ENSJHYG00000003431.1)". The record is from RNAcentral. Lineage: Eukaryota; Metazoa; Chordata; Aves; Passeriformes; Passerellidae.